Manis javanica (Malayan pangolin) is the source of this 4519-nucleotide long non-coding RNA. RefSeq lists it as uncharacterized. Lineage: Eukaryota; Metazoa; Chordata; Mammalia; Pholidota; Manidae. The record is from RefSeq and is a predicted model, not a curated record.
GAAGAGAAGUGGCCAUCAGAACCCACCGAUGAAGCCCCCUGCCCCCACCCCGACAGCGGUCCGAGCAGCUACUCUGCCGCGGGCAGGACAGACCUCAGCCCAGACCCCAGAGCUAAGGCGGCACCGAGUGGUUUCGACAUGACUCUACAUCGCGUUCUGCUCAGGGUCAGCCCCGCCAGUUUUGUGUGAGGAAAUGAAACCCGAGCCACUUCUUGGAAGACCAGCACCAGUCUCGGGCACCGCCCUCAGCCAAAGACCUCAGCUGCAUCCCUGGCAACCCAGACCCAUUCGCCCAGGCUCACCCCAAAGCCAGGCUCGGUCACCAGGGGACCCUGGAGCUCCCGAGCUCAUGCCUGGACUCCAUGCAAAGGAGGAAAGCACUGGUGUUUGCUGCAAAGGAGGAAAGCCAAGAGAUUCACUUUACGGCACAUGAAACAUUCCUGUGGACCUGUGGACUGCUCUUCAGAUGUUUCCUAGGGAGGUAACUGAGCUGGAAAUGCCCCUCUUGCACUGGCAAAGGGUUGUGCAUGACAAAGAUGAGGAGAUGGAGGCCACAGAGAGACCUGGAAACUCGCUCAGGGUGUCUGCAGCAUGAAUUCAGCACAACGGGGCGGAGGUGAAAAUGCCCGUUAGGGGGACUAGGUACGAGCUUGUGCUUUGAACCCUACUAUCCAAACCCUGGUGUUAAUGGGAACAACGAUCGGCCAAAAAACAGGGUUUGGGAAUCUGAAUGUGCCUGACAGGAAAUGCCUGAGUUCCCCAAAUCACAUUAAAUCGCCACAUCUGGGCGCCUUUAAUAUGUAUAUUAAAUCACAAAAGUGAAAAUGUGAAACAGCACAAAUAUGCAGCCCGGGUGGGAUUCCAAGGCGUCAACCCUCCCCACUUGGCACACUCAGAGCUGGAAAUGCGCGUAUUUAUCUCUGAACGAAAAGCUCGCUUUGAUUUCUUCUUUUUCUCUUUUCUUCUCUCUUCCUUCCUUUCUUUUUCUGAGACUGAGACAACGGCAGAAAGGGAAACAGGAGCCAAUAUCACACGAGAGGCCGCGGGGGCCCGGCAAACAGCCCCGAGACGACAGCCAGACCAGGCGGCCCGCAGGCCCAGGGCUGCCCCUCGGCGGUCCCCCCACCUUCGGGGGCACAGCCUGGAAUUUGCUGUGUAGGGAGGGAACCCGUUCCCACCUCUGGGCUUGGAACCAAGAGCGACCAAUCUUGGGGUCAGAGGGGACCUCUGAAUUCUUUCUUUAAAAAGGAAAAGAAAAAAAAUUUUUUUCUUCCAAGUGGGAAACACCAUUUUGUAUUACUUAAGGAUGCUGCAACUGCCUUCAAAAGGAUGUCGCUCUUUCCUCUCAUUUAAUCAUGACCCCACAAAGAGGAAUGUUUCUCAACCGCGCUCCUGCUGCUCUGAGAGCCUCCUCGCACCAAGCUUAUUUGGAGAGAACGGCCAGGCAGACGAUGGCACAGCGCUGCUUCCCUCUCACCAAGGACUGGCCGCGGCCGGGAUGCCCACAGAGGCCGACGGCGGCGGUAUGAGGUCCUUUCUGCGGGUGACAUUUGAGGAGGGGGUGUACUGCCGUCACCCUCAUUUGUUCUUCCGGUUCUGAUUCCGGGCAGCCCGCUCGCUGGUGCCACGGAAAGACUCUGUUUAUCAGUGAACGGGGAGAACCAGGCUUGGGCUUCCCCUUCCUGCAGCUUCUGCUGGGCGAGGCCUGAAGGCCGGGAGUGGGGAGGAAGCAAGCUUGGGGUUCUAGAGAGCGUCCGCGCUGGAGGGUCCACAGCCUCCGUGGCUUCCUGACCUGCCCUUCCGAGCAGAGGGGUCUUAGGGGAGAUCCAUCCCGUCUAAAUUCCAUGGUCUGAGUCAAGGGGCCAUUUCUACAAGGAAGUCAGAGACGUGAGUUAGAGUCCAGCGUGGCCCCUACCUAGUUCUGUGACCUUGGGCCUUAGACCUCCCCAAGCCUUGAUUGUUCCUCUGUGAAAUGGGAGCCGGGUUAAGAUUUUCUGUUAUAUUUUCCAUCUCAUAUUCGGUGAUUAUUUGGGCCACAGCCAGUGUCAAGUAUGUAGGAUUAUGAACUUGAGCAGCUGGACAUUAAUCAUUGUCAGUGUAUCAGGAAGACUGAAUUUCUGGACCCCAACGUCUUAAGUUUCAGGGACACACACACACACACACACACCUCUCUGGCAGAGAUUUUCGGAGUGUCCCUUCAUGCAGGGGGUUCGCACUCGUGCCUCACGUUCGAGCCAAGUAUGUGCUGUGCAUGAAGGCCAGUACACCGUGCACGGUCUCCGGGGGGCAGGCAUCGCCAGGUGCCUCAGAACUCCUGGCCACCUGCCCCGUUCAGCCAGAGGAAUGAACCGCCUUCCCCAUGGAAUCCUAACUGUACAAGUGCACUGAGAUUCCGUCCACUUCUUUCUGUCAGGACGGCACCAAAAAUGUCAGUUACUCCCUGUAUCACCCAAGAAUUCUCGUAGAAUCACAGAGAGAAAAAUGUGUCUGAGCACUAGUAUCUUCCAGUGUUGAUAGUGUCAAAAUAUGGCCAUUCUCACCUUCUCUUCUUUGGCCUUUACUGCCUAAGACUUAUGCUGGAUGCUGGUUGCAUUUAAAAGCAAAUUUCCUAAUUUCCAAUCAACCACUCCAGAAGCAAAUGUAGGUCUGGAGAAAAAUGUCUGUCUUAUUCUAUAUUCCAGUGUUUCCAAGCCAGUCCCCCCGUGAUGUGAGAGUCCACCUGCACAGGAAGCCAGCCUCAAUGAGUCGAAUACAUUUCCCAAACUUUUAUUCUUCUUUCCUUCCCCAAAUACCUCUGUAAUUAGCCUACUCAAAAUUCUGCAGGUCUGUCUUACCUGCUUCCAAGGAAGACUCUCAUGUCCAACCCCUGUAUUCCCAGGAGUCUAAAUCUCUGUGGCAUCAACUCUGUGAUGUGCCAGAAGCGCCCGUUGCCAAGCCAGCUCGCCUUUGUCCAGCUGUCUGGGUCCCGACCAAUGAUGCCAUCCACUGGGGCACAUCGGCCCCUCACUUAUCAUGGUUAAGCACAGCCAUUACCUGUCGACUUCAGCCUCCCUGUUUAUCUGGGACAAUAAUGAGUUCCUGGGGACGGGACUGCUCUCAGGCAGCCACAGCUAUCCUGGGACACUCACAAUGGCAGAGCCCUGUGGUUAAUGAACGGAGCCACCUGCGCAGCGGAUAAGCCCAGGUGUGAGGCCAGGGAGUGGUCUCUGCACCCAGCCCCACCCCAGAACGGGCUGUGGCUUGGCAAGGUUUUGCCAAAAAAAUGGUUCCCUUCCUCCCCUGCCAACUACUGCUUCAUGAAUAGCUCUGAAGUGGCUUUUACCAAGAUGGAAACAGUUUCCACUUAGGAAGUGGAUGACAUCUCUUUCCUUAGAGCUCAUUAGUUGAUGAAAGUAAUUAAAAGUCAUCCUUUCUCCUUUCUAGUGUGUUUGUUAUGGGAAACAACCCUGGUGAGGGGUGAGUGUGGGGGCCCAGGGUAAGCUGGGCCGAGCUGCGCUCCUGCUUGGGUGUGAAAAGCAACUUGUUACCACUCAGUUACUCAUCCGUGCCUCUGAUAAGCUGGGGUCUAUGUAUAUUUAAAAGAAAAAAAAAUUAAGCCAAACAUAAAGGCCUUGCUUUUCUUUUUUGCAUUUUUCUUCUCUAGCAAUCUCUCUUAUUUUACCCUUUAAUCAGUCAAAAUCACACCCAUAUAGACCACCUACUGGGAUGACUCCACGUUUACUUCUUUGUUUUACGAAUGAAGACUUUGGUGUUCUUUGCUUAUUUGGGUCUAUGAGUUUAAUGGGUACCGAGGCCGUUUCUUCUUCCAGAUGGUCACUGCGCAUCCUUGCUGGCCUCUAAGUGUUCCUGGGGCAGGGAGCCCUGAGCCCUGGACGCCUGUCGUGCACCCCUAUGGCAAGUCCUUUUCUUCAGCCUGGACAACGAACCCCUUUACCUUGAGUCCUUUCUGGAACCUGGGGCUUUAAGCAAACUCACGACCCAGUGUCUGAGCCCUUCCACAAAGUGUGCAGGGGUCCCUAACUGAACCCCCUCACAAACUCCCUGCAGCAGCUACAUCCUGUCCCGAAAGACAAAAUAAAAUUUAGAGUCACAUGAUACGGCUGAUGUCCUGCAGGAAUUGUGAGGAGCCAGGAGCCCUCUGCCCCUGGCAUUCAGCAAGCCUCUUCCCACUGGGCUGGGAAGCUGCAGUGUUUCCAAGAAAGGAGUCAGAUUUUACUGAACACCUACUAUAUACCAAAUAUGUGCUGGGCACUUUUACUUAUUUCACUUAUGCACUUAUUUCAUUGAAACAACAAUGCUCCUGAAGUAUUUGUUACUAUCCCCAUUUUACAGAUGAGGAGACUUCCCUAGGAAGGGUAUGGAACUGACUCGAUGAAGGUCGCCUGCUAGAAAGGGACAAAGCUGGACUGAAGUCCAGUGCUACGCCUCCAAAGUCCACACUCCCUGCUGAGGAAUGCACUCCCCAGCCUGGUUUCCCCUCGCCCCUUCCUAGUCCUGACAGGCUGGGGUCACAGCGUCA